CAAGUCGAGCGAACAGACGAGGAGCUUGCUCCUCUGACGUUAGCGGCGGACGGGUGAGUAACACGUGGAUAACCUACCUAUAAGACUGGGAUAACUUCGGGAAACCGGAGCUAAUACCGGAUAAUAUAUUGAACCGCAUGGUUCAAUAGUGAAAGACGGUUUUGCUGUCACUUAUAGAUGGAUCCGCGCCGCAUUAGCUAGUUGGUAAGGUAACGGCUUACCAAGGCGACGAUGCGUAGCCGACCUGAGAGGGUGAUCGGCCACACUGGAACUGAGACACGGUCCAGACUCCUACGGGAGGCAGCAGUAGGGAAUCUUCCGCAAUGGGCGAAAGCCUGACGGAGCAACGCCGCGUGAGUGAUGAAGGUCUUCGGAUCGUAAAACUCUGUUAUUAGGGAAGAACAAAUGUGUAAGUAACUAUGCACGUCUUGACGGUACCUAAUCAGAAAGCCACGGCUAACUACGUGCCAGCAGCCGCGGUAAUACGUAGGUGGCAAGCGUUAUCCGGAAUUAUUGGGCGUAAAGCGCGCGUAGGCGGUUUUUUAAGUCUGAUGUGAAAGCCCACGGCUCAACCGUGGAGGGUCAUUGGAAACUGGAAAACUUGAGUGCAGAAGAGGAAAGUGGAAUUCCAUGUGUAGCGGUGAAAUGCGCAGAGAUAUGGAGGAACACCAGUGGCGAAGGCGACUUUCUG
RNAcentral lists this ribosomal RNA (691 nucleotides) under uncultured Staphylococcus sp. Its description in RNAcentral is "bacterial SSU rRNA". It matches the Rfam family "Bacterial small subunit ribosomal RNA", at positions 58 to 731 of the family's 1533-position model. Lineage: Bacteria; Bacillati; Bacillota; Bacilli; Caryophanales; Staphylococcaceae. The record is from RNAcentral.